AUGUAUGUGCUGAUUAGUGUUGGACAUCUUUGCAGUAUAAUUGAUGCGGCGAGUGAAGGUGUUAGGUGCAUAACUGGGUUUUACCAAUUGCAGAAGGUGGGUUGUUGCAGGAUAUGUGGGAUGGUUAUGCUACAUGAAUACCUGCAAAGGGUCUGCAACUCUAUUGACAAAUUAAUCUCUCCAAGUAUACAAGGGGAUAUACGGGGGAUUGGAUGGUUAAGAGCUGAGCUUCUUUUAGGGAAUAUUAAUCAUUUUUCUACAAUUGAACGAGGUCUUGCUUUGAAAUUUGAUCAUUCAGUUUGUUGUUUCUGA
Vicia faba (fava bean) is the source of this 312-nucleotide non-coding RNA. Lineage: Eukaryota; Viridiplantae; Streptophyta; Magnoliopsida; Fabales; Fabaceae. The record is from the annotation of a GenBank genome assembly.